This 440-nucleotide ribosomal RNA is filed under the name uncultured bacterium. Its description in RNAcentral is "bacterial SSU rRNA". It matches the Rfam family "Bacterial small subunit ribosomal RNA", at positions 338 to 795 of the family's 1533-position model. The record is from RNAcentral.
CCUACGGGUGGCAGCAGUGGGGAAUAUUGCACAAUGGGGGAAACCCUGAUGCAGCGACGCCGCGUGAAGGAAGAAGUAUCUCGGUAUGUAAACUUCUAUCAGCAGGGAAGAAAGUGACGGUACCUGACUAAGAAGCCCCGGCUAAUUACGUGCCAGCAGCCGCGGUAAUACGUAAGGGGCAAGCGUUAUCCGGAUUUACUGGGUGUAAAGGGAGCGUAGACGGCAGAGCAAGUCUGAUGUGAAAGGCAGGGGCUCAACCCCUGGACUGCAUUGGAAACUGUUCGGCUUGAGUGCCGGAGAGGUAAGCGGAAUUCCUAGUGUAGCGGUGAAAUGCGUAGAUAUUAGGAGGAACACCAGUGGCGAAGGCGGCUUACUGGACGGCAACUGACGUUGAGGCUCGAAAGCGUGGGGAGCAAACAGGAUUAGAUACCCUAGUAGUC